CCACCACCUGAAGAUGGAAUUUUUUCCAAUCGCGCUCAUUAAAAUUGUGUUUAGCUUUAAGGGUCCAUGAGGAAUUUAGUCAUUUUGAGAUGUUCAUGUGUGUCUUAAUGAUCCCAGCAGAGACCCUCCUGAGCCCACAUGCUGGCUAUUCCCCCGUGGAUCACAGCAGUGUGUGCCACGAGCCAACACUGCACCAUUGGCUGAGUAACUGCGCUUGUUUGAGCUGAGCUAUCUCUCCGUUUACUCACAGCCUCGGUCGAUUUGCCAGCCAGAUCGGCAUAAUCCACAAACAAUUAUCAUAUUUGCCUCAGUGGACAUCUCGGGUUUUUGUUUACGGAUUUAAAAUGGACAAUGUACACAGCUGGGUUUGUAGCAAACACCUUUCUUGGCUGGCGGUGCUCCGUCUGGAACCGGAACAGUAAGAUCCCCACAGAGUCAACUCGACACAUGCAGAGACAUUCAAUCACAAGAAAGGAGCGCAGGCAACAUAUGAAUCCAUCCAGUAAAGCAGCUUCCAGACCGUUCCCAAUGCGAAUGAGAUGUCCCAAAGCCUCGUGCCGUUAUCUGGCCUGGAUGUGAUCCAUACCUCAAUAAAUAUUGCGGGGGGAGGUUUUACAAGCAAAUUUGAAAUCCGACAGAAUGUACUUUGCUUACAACUCAUCACUUUGUUUUUUUCCUACAUUGAAAUCCUAAAACAUGGAUGUACAAUAUAAUAACACAUACAACGCUAAAUUGCGUACUAGUCUAAAUAAGAAUUAAGAAAUAUUUGCUAAAGUCUGUAUGAUUGCUUUCUAAUCAACAUUGUAAUACAUAUUUUUUAUAUUCACAGUGGAUCACGUGACUUCUGAUAGUCAAGUGUAACCAACACGCUGAUUCAGUGGUCUGUCAUUGGAGAAGAAUAAUUUGUCCUUCCCUCCACUAAAGGCUGCUGACCCCUGGAGCCGCUAGCAUGGCUAAAACGUCACAGCCUGGACAUUGUGUCAAAGGCGGGUAUUGAGUGCACGGGUAUGCAGCCUUCUUUUAACCCAGGCGUCCCCCGACCUGCAGGUAAAGAACAGCCGGUUUUAUGCAGCCAAAUCCAGAAAGGAGGCAGAAAGGGACGCGAGGUGUGGUGGGACGCCACUCGCUCCGUGCUCUGGUUGCCAAAAUCCUCCGUGGAGGACAGCGAGGCCUACGAAAUCACAUCGUACCACGGAGCCAUUCAUGAGAGUCCAGAGCUCUCCUGUGUUACGGCCAUUCACCUAGACAGUCCAUUAGGCCGUGACAGGGCACAAGCUGGAGUCUGCCGGACAACCGUCUUUUCAAGAUCUCCUUGGAAGCCACGGCAGUUAAUUGGGUAAUGGGAGAAUGGUACUCUCUGCAAAGGACAAAUAAUCACAGCUAAAAGCAGUCUCUCAUUCUCCCGCCCUGGUUGUGGAAAGAUGGAUGCAUGGCACGGAGUGGAAAACAAGAAGCUGAUGCACGUUCCAUGGUAAAACCCUGAAAAGAGAAGACGUUGGUUUAAUUCCGUCGGCCUAAACUGAAGGCUCAUCACUAUUGCAUCAUUCUGCUGCAAGUUUAUUCUAACACGGUUGACUCCAGAAAACCUUUUAAUCACGGCAGUAUUGAGUUGAAUGCAUUUCCCUCUUGGAGGUUUUGCUUCAAAUGCCUUUGAACAACGCCGGAGACAGCACUGGCCUACAUGUCUUAAGAAGUGCUAUCAAUGAGAUCCCAGGGACGUCAGUGGGAAUGCAGUCUUUAGUCACCUUAAUGAGGGCCUCUAGGAAAAUUGUCACUUCCAGUUAGUGCAGACGGAUGCUCGCAAAUCCUCCCCUCCAAGAGGGGUGGCAAGUCUCUUCUGAAGCUGCACACUGUUGACAGCCAUCUGGGACUUCCGUCUACCUGCAAAAGAAAUGUAAUUGAAAUACAGUAAGGUCAGUAGCAUGAUUAUACCAUCAUGAUUGCAGCGUCCUGAAUGAGGGAUUAUGUUCCCUUUAAAACAUUGUAUUUCACUAGAUUGUCGUGACGAUAGCCCCAAAGUGUGCCAUUUAAAUUGUUUAUGUAAUUCAACUGGAAAAGCAACAUUUUUGUCACAACGGGGUAACUGAAGCAGGACUCAAAUACAAACUUCAAGGGAUAAAAAAUUCUUAAUGAUUUUAUGCAGGCCUUCAAAUUGGCUCUUCUUCCAAUUGUAUAUACAUAAUAAUGUUAAAUGAAACUAUAGCAUUGUAAUUCCUGACAAGGACGAACAAGUCUCCUAAUAAAAGAUGACGUUACAUAGGCUCAAUUCAGAAUAUCCAUACAAACUUCUGCAGCAGCAUUUUGCACUGCUGUCAUCAUCAUACACAUUAUUUGAUUUUAUUAACAUUUUCAAAUCUUGAACUUUAAUUUGGUUCAUGUCAGAUAAAUUACUGCAAUAUCCGCAAUAAAAGAAACAAAGAUCCAGGACACGGUUGUUGAAUAAAACGUAACGACGAAAUGCGUUUGCUGUAUAUUGGCAGUUUUAUUGAUUUUUUUUGUUGAUUGAUUUCAGACAAUACAUGAUAAUGAAAAUAAUCACAAAGAGAAUAGAUAAUACACAGACUGAAAAAACACAUAAUGGGCCUCAUGCCACAAGACAUUGUGACAUGGUGGGAGCGGAAGAUUACAUUACAUUAUUAAUGUUGAUGAUGUAAUGUAAUGUAAUUUCUAAUAAGAUGGACACGGUUGUUGAGUAAAACGUAGGGACAAAAUGGUUUUGAUGUAUAUUGCAGUUUUAUUGAUUCUUGCUGUUGAUUGAUUUCUGACAAUACAAGAUAAUUAUUUAAUAAUCACAAAAAGAAAAGAUAAUACAUAGACUGACAAAGCAUAUAAUGGGCCUCAUGCCACAAGAUGUUGUGACAUAGUGGGAGCAGAAGCUUGGAUAAUAAAAUUAGCAAUGGCUAAGCUACAUUUACCUUCACAUUAUUCAGGUCAAGUUAAAUUGCUCCCUGCAAAAAAAGACCUACUAUGCCUCCUCCACCAGGCACAACAAGAGAGAAGAAACAACAUGAAAGAAAAAUCGGACAUAAAUUCAAGUAAUCAAAAUUUGAACGUUGUCUCUUGUCAUCCAUUGCAGCGUUUGCGGUGGAAUCAGGCUCCUCUGCAUGGGCACAAAAACCGAACUUUGUAGUCGAGGCACGACCCAGAUUUCUGCUGGUUAUUGACGCAAACAAAUCCAUAACCUGGAAUGGAGCUGUAAAAUAGUUCCAAGCAUUAGGUGAAUCAAUACAACAUUUAAAGUAAGGUAGACAAUAAAAUAAUAAAAAGUAUUAAUUUGGUAUUUUUAUGGUGGAUCGCAUAUUUCUUAUCAAGCAACUUACGUGUAGAUAUUCCCUGCGAGGGAUGCUGGGAUGCCUGAGCUCGUGGUAACAGCCUCAAUGGCCACAGGCUGGUUACAGAUUUGUCCAGGAUAUUCCGUCCACAGGUCAACCAAGAGCUCCCAGUCCCCGGUUCCACUGGGAUCGUCUCGGUCGUACCAUGAAGUCCAGCAAACUGCAAUAAAAGAGAGAUGAUGACUGCUGAGGAACAUCAACUUAAAUGCUUAUUUACACAAACAAUGAAAAUCAGGGGAAAUAAUCUUUUCACUAGCAGGUUGAUACUGCACAUGAAUGUGCUCAAAAGUACCUUUUGUUUUACUUUGACUGUUUUUUUAAAUAUAGGGUGGUCAAAAUGUGAACAUUUUAUCUUGACCACCAAACAGAUUUUAAAAACAAAAAUAUGGAAUCUGCUUUUAAAUAUGGGUGGGAUCAUAGCAGGGCCAAGCUAAAUAAGGUAAAAAAAAAAAAAACAGACAAUAAAUGAACUGAGUGGUUGUUCUGUACUUUAUGAAUCAGGAUUGCCACUAAAAAGAAUCACUUACAUUCUUUGUCCACUGGAAUGAUGGUAUCAAGAGCCACUCGCUGGCUGCUUGCUGUUAAAGAUCAUUCGGGAAAAAUAGACUUUACUGUGACUGCAUUUUCUGAUUAUUUUGUAGUCAAAAUUUGGACAUUUGAUCUUGACCAUUGUAGAUAAAUAGAUGAUGAACCUACCACAGAACAAUCCGGCUAAAAUGGCAACGCUGAACUAUUAAAGAAAAUAAAAGGGUUACAUUCAUAGAAUAUGGCAAAUGCAUAAAGAAUGUGUAAAUCCACAUUAAAAAAUAUUAAAAAGUAUACAUUACCAAUUUAUUCAUGAUUGCAGGUAAUGGACUUUUAAUACUGAAAGGAAAGUUGUUAUAAAUUAAACUGCAAUAUCAAAAUAACUUACUCAAGAACAUUCACAGAAAUUUACCAUGUUAAAAUGUAUACCGUCUUUCUUUAUUUAACAAUUUAACCAAACAAUUUCAUGACGAGAAAUGGUUGAAAAAGGGGGUCAAUGAUAUUGCAAGGUAUUCUAAAACUUACCUUUGUCCUUCAAAACAAACGAGUCUUGUCUUCACAAGCUUCUCCUGUUGUCUACACUCACACAUGGUUUUGGAGGCUGUUUAUAUACAGUGCCUGGUAAACCCUCAAGCUUGCUGCAAUCACAUACUAUAGACCCCACCCACAGAGAAAAUUUAAAACAUCUGGCAAGAUUGUGGACUGGUCUGAGAUAGCCCACAGCAAUUGGCCUAGUUUUUUUUUGGGACUAACUAAAGAAUGUUUGUCUUAACGUUAAGUGCUUCAGGUGUGCUGAGGUGGACCCACGAGUCACAGUGAGUUGCCUACAACGUUAUGUUACCACAAUAAUUCUUACCUAUGGGAGCGUUGAAUGAAACACUGCCCUGCUCACUUUAUUGCUUCUAUGUGUUGUGGCAAUGCAACAUGUCUUUAUUUCUAGUUGUUAGUUGAAUGGCUUAUUCCUGAACAUUGCAUGCAUGUGCAUGCAGAUGUCUCAUCCUGACCUCACAAACUCUUAGCCAUCCGACCCAAACAAGCCGAAUUCACAAAGGUAUAUCAUCAAACGUACAUCAUGUUAAACUUGCUUUUACCCUGAAAUCACAAUCCAAAUCUAUUCCAUGAAGGCAGCAGAACCUUCCAAAGACUUGGUGCCCACAUGCAAAGAGGGAAAAAAGGGAUAAUGUGCACCUGAAGUGAGCUGAUGUUUUUGUCUGGAGUAAAUAUGUUCUGUUAAAUCCAUUGACUUUUGUUGAGACCUCCAAAACCAUCCGUGUGAAAGAGCUCAUCUAUUCAGCAGAAAAAGAAAACUUUCUGACAGAUGCAAAUAACAUGAGCUGCAUGCAAAUAAUCCAAAGAUAAUGUAUCCUACUCCUCUAUAUAUGAUAUUUGAUUUCAUUAUACCAAUAUUAUUAUUCAAUAGAGAAAAACUGUAUUGUCACUCCCGUCUCCCCACUGACAUCUCAUUUGCGAUGCGGCAAAUGUUUACAUUUUUCAUAUUUUAGAUCUCGCUUAAAGAAGUGAAAAGCUCAAAGAACACAGAAUGUAUGUUGGUAGGUCAGCCAGAUUAUAUCCCCAAACUGGUAAAACAAGUUGUUCAGGCUCACAACAGCUUUUGUUCAGCGCCUGGAAAAGUUUACCAAAGAACACUUAUUUAGACUAUAUAUAUGUAAUUAAAUGUUGUAAUCCCAAAUUUCAAAAUAUUUUACGACCUCCAAUGACCAGAAAAAACAUCUUUAUUAACUCAGGCACAUUAUUGAAAUAUCAAUCUUUCACUUGAUAUGUUUUACCAAAUUCCUACCCCAAGCUAUGAAGCAGAAUUAGCUCUCAUUUAGAGGCUUUGUCCAUCGAUCAGUAAUAUACAGUAUAUGGUUCUUUUAACCUGGUUCCUUCGUCUCUAGUCAGUUAGAACAGAAAAUGGUAAAGUUGCCAGCUGUGAAACCAUGACGAUGGUCAAAGAGCUGAGAAGAUCAGUAGAGGUCAGAUCAUGUGACGGGAGGUUCAUCAGAUCAUAUCUCAAACAGGUAAAACAUGCUGGGGAGGCCCACAUGAUCACAAAGACCUUUGUAAAUGUCCUUUUCCUCAAGUGUAUGGCUGUGUGUGUGUGUGUGUGUACGUGCAUACCCACACACAUAAACACACACAAAACGUACAUUGUUAAUUAAGACACACAACAGUAUAAUGUAUCAUUUUAUUUGAUUACAACAAAGCCACGGCGGGAUGGUGGCGUGGUGGUUAGGCGGUUUGCAGAUGGAUGGACGGAUGGAUGGACAACACAGACAGACUUGUUUUUUUACUGUAUCACGGUAGAAGGCUUGAGAAGUAAGACAACAUUUUUUUACAAUAUGACUUAUCUUCCUGUUCUCACUCACAGUGACGACUGUGUUUAUAAGAUGCCUGAAGGGUCGAAAAGUCCGUCAAGGAGGAUAAUUUAGCCUAACUAGGUUAAAAAGUGAAUGACUAGCAAAAUAAAAAGGAGGGGGGAAGAAAGCAGAAGAAAACGGUUUGAAAUGUUGUAAAAAAAAUUGAAAAUGUGGUGACAAGGGAAAAUUUCACCAGAUUUCACCACUGUUCGACCACUGUGAUGGCCCAGCCGGUGAGCAGGGCCCCACGUGGCGAGAAACAGCCAGGAGAGGGCCACCAAGAGGCAUGGUAGUGGAAGGGCGGUGCUACCCCAGGUUCCCCUCCCAGGUUUCGGUAAUCACGCAGGCAAUCAGGAGCCUGUUUUAAACCUUCCUCCCAGGAGACACGAAGGAGGAAGCGAGCGGGACAAUCGGAACGCAAGGAGAGUGAGACCCAGGGAUGUUGCGCAGCAAAAGGAGUCUGACUAAAUAUAUUCUCUCUCUUCUGCACCAGAAGGAAUCUGGCGAAGCCCCGAUGUCCCUGACCACCCCGGUGAAGAACUUUUGAGUUUUCCUUUUCUCACCCUUUUCCCCCCUCUCCCCUUUGCAUUAUUUGAUAAUAAACCUUAAUUCUACCGUAACCCUGCUUUUCGUCAGCCUCGCUUCUCCCCUGGGACGACCCCGCGAGGUCGGGCGCUCACACCACCCAUUCGUACAACCAGAACUAUGCGACAUGUACAUGUGUUUUUUUUAAUAAAAUAAUAUUGUAUUGCUAAAGUUUUUUUCCCUGCCACAAUUUGCCAUCGCAAAUUUGAUAGAUCGUCACAUGUUGUCAUCUCUACCACUAAGUGUGCUUUUUUUGUUUGAAUUCCAACACCCGCCAUCUCUAAUUAUAAAGAGAUGAAUCGGGUGCAAAUCUAGAUUCCCAGUUUCUUUUAGAAACUCGCACAAGACGUUCUUGCCCUGCUGCAUUAUCCGCCCUCUGCAGUGCUUUGGUAAAAACUAAUGAAUGAAUUGCCCUUUGAGAAGAAUAGCUACCUGCCUCUGUUCAAUAGCAGCUCGGGAUGGUCUCCGUCUAUUCAUUCAUCAGCAUUAUAUUUUGUCAUCUGAAGGGGACGGUGUAAUAUUUUACACUAAAUUGUGCUUUGGACUGGAUACCAAAGUACAAAUGACAACAUGGUGUAGACUCAAUUAUCAUUUCCAAUGUCCCAAACAUACAUAGUCUCUCUCUGUCUCUGUCUCUGUGUCUGUCUCUCUCUGUCUCUUUCCCCGUCUCCAUGGAGAACCUUGGCGUCUCCAUCCUCCCGAGGUGAAAGAUGUGAGUGCAGACUCUCUGUUGACCAUCACUUCAUACGGAUGGAGCUCUAUGACGACACCAUUAUUUAGGAGCAUCUCAAAUACAGACUCGCUUUGUGGAUCAUCUAUCUUUGAGUGCGUUCAUCUCAUAAUAUAAAGAAGACAUGUUCAUAUGGAACCUAUUAGUACAGGAAGUUGUUGUGAAGUGAUAUAGAUCAAGGUAACACUCAUAGCUUGGCGGUCCUUUAACAUAAUACGUAAUAACAGUAGAGUAAACUUGAAAUAAAGCAAAGUGAACAGAGUUACAACACCAAAUCUGACCUUUCACUGCCGGGACACAAGCCUCUUACUCUGACACCUAUAUGACAGUGUUGAUGUUGUCCCUUCGAAAACCCAAAACUCUUUGGAUUGGACAUCGAAGGCAUUGUUUGUAGGAAAAGAUAAUAGUUUGGAACUAAAUAAAUGCAAAGCUGUUUUCUUUCAACACAAUUUUGAGGCUGUUAAAAUAUUAAAUGAUGUUAACUUGUGUAACAUGUGGGGAAGUGCAAAGUUGAGUGUUUUUCACAUAAAAAGGAUCUGUUAAUUAAUUUUAAAAUAUUGAAAUAUUGAUUGUAGACGCUUUAAAUGUAUUAUUUCAUUGCUGUAUGUCUUACAAACUAAAUCAAAUCAACACCUGGGCAAAGAAAAACCAAAUACAUCUGCACGAACAUGUUGGUUCUGUUUUGAAUAUGGGUGAAACAAUUACCUCAAAUACGUGAAAUGUAUUGGAAAUGUAGUGUAUAUUAACGAUUAUGUUUAUUAUAUUCACACAUUAUCUUAUAUAAUAAAAAAAGUUUCUUCUCUUUCAA
This is a non-coding RNA of Gasterosteus aculeatus aculeatus (three-spined stickleback), 8340 nucleotides long. Lineage: Eukaryota; Metazoa; Chordata; Actinopteri; Perciformes; Gasterosteidae. The record is from RefSeq and is a predicted model, not a curated record.